GCCUGGAUGGAGCCUGCCAGACACUGGGCACGAGGGAGCGAGGGUUCUCCGCGUUUUUUUGUAAAGAUAUAGUAAAUUCAGCUAAUAAGCCCUGCUGGGAUUCAGCUGACUCUUCACAGGCACUUUAAUCCGCAUUUCAACUUCCAUAAAGUGCCUCAGCUCAUUUUGCAUCCACAGGAAAUUUCCUUUUAAUAUUUUAGAUGAUGAGAAAACCUGCCCUCUGGAUAAUCAUAUACCGCUGAAUUUUGAAUCAUGUAAGUAGACUCUGCAAUAUUGUGCUGUUUUGGUUGAGUAUGAUACUUUCAGAGGCUCUUGGUG
This 318-nucleotide long non-coding RNA is filed under the name Struthio camelus australis. RNAcentral describes it as "lncRNA (ENSSCUG00000010833.1)". The record is from RNAcentral. Lineage: Eukaryota; Metazoa; Chordata; Aves; Struthioniformes; Struthionidae.